CACGUAGGGUGCGAGCGUUGUCCGGAAUUAUUGGGCGUAAAGAGCUCGUAGGCGGUGUGUCGCGUCGGCCGUGAAAACCUGCAGCUUAACUGUGGGCCUGCGGUCGAUACGGGCAUCACUGGAGUUCGGCAGGGGAGACUGGAAUUCCUGGUGUAGCGGUGAAAUGCGCAGAUAUCAGGAGGAACACCGGUGGCGAAGGCGGGUCUCUGGGCCGAUACUGACGCUGAGGAGCGAAAGCGUGGGUAGCAAACAGG
Molecule: ribosomal RNA, 254 nt
Filed under: uncultured bacterium
Lineage: Bacteria
Description: partial 16S ribosomal RNA
Rfam family: Bacterial small subunit ribosomal RNA
Source: RNAcentral